This 407-nucleotide ribosomal RNA is filed under the name Verrucomicrobiota bacterium. RNAcentral describes it as "Verrucomicrobia bacterium partial 16S ribosomal RNA". It matches the Rfam family "Bacterial small subunit ribosomal RNA", at positions 355 to 776 of the family's 1533-position model. Lineage: Bacteria; Pseudomonadati; Verrucomicrobiota. The record is from RNAcentral.
UGGGGAAUAUUGGACAAUGGAGGAAACUCUGAUCCAGCAAUUCUGUGUGUGUGAAGAAGGUUUUAGGACUGUAAAACACUUUUAGUAGGGAAGAAAAAAAUGACGGUACCUACAGAAGAAGCAACGGCUAAAUACGUGACAGCAGCCGCGGUAAUACGUAUGUUGCGAGCGUUAUCCGGAAUUAUUGGGCUUAAAGGGCAUCUAGGCGGUAAGACAAGUUGAAGGUGAAAACCUGUGGCUCAACCAUAGGCUUGCCUACAAAACUGUUGAACUAGAGUACUGGAAAGGUGGGUGGAAAUACACGAGUAGAGGUGAAAUUCGUAGAUAUGUGUAGGAAUGCCGAUGAUGAAGAUAACUCACUGGACAGAAACUGACGCUGAAGUGCGAAAGCUAGGGGAGCAAACAGG